RNAcentral lists this ribosomal RNA (1762 nucleotides) under Escherichia coli. RNAcentral's name for it is "partial 23S ribosomal RNA". It matches the Rfam family "Bacterial large subunit ribosomal RNA", at positions 292 to 2048 of the family's 2925-position model. Lineage: Bacteria; Pseudomonadati; Pseudomonadota; Gammaproteobacteria; Enterobacterales; Enterobacteriaceae. The record is from RNAcentral.
GAGGAGCCCAGAGCCUGAAUCAGUGUGUGUGUUAGUGGAAGCGUCUGGAAAGGCGUGCGAUACAGGGUGACAGCCCCGUACACAAAAAUGCACAUAUUGUGAGCUCGAUGAGUAGGGCGGGACACGUGGUAUCCUGUCUGAAUAUGGGGGGACCAUCCUCCAAGGCUAAAUACUCCUGACUGACCGAUAGUGAACCAGUACCGUGAGGGAAAGGCGAAAAGAACCCCGGCGAGGGGAGUGAAAAAGAACCUGAAACCGUGUACGUACAAGCAGUGGGAGCCUCUUAAUGGGGUGACUGCGUACCUUUUGUAUAAUGGGUCAGCGACUUAUAUUCUGUAGCAAGGUUAACCGAAUAGGGGAGCCGAAGGGAAACCGAGUCUUAACUGGGCGUUAAGUUGCAGGGUAUAGACCCGAAACCCGGUGAUCUAGCCAUGGGCAGGUUGAAGGUUGGGUAACACUAACUGGAGGACCGAACCGACUAAUGUUGAAAAAUUAGCGGAUGACUUGUGGCUGGGGGUGAAAGGCCAAUCAAACCGGGAGAUAGCUGGUUCUCCCCGAAAGCUAUUUAGGUAGCGCCUCGUGAAUUCAUCUCCGGGGGUAGAGCACUGUUUCGGCAAGGGGGUCAUCCCGACUUACCAACCCGAUGCAAACUGCGAAUACCGGAGAAUGUUAUCACGGGAGACACACGGCGGGUGCUAACGUCCGUCGUGAAGAGGGAAACAACCCAGACCGCCAGCUAAGGUCCCAAAGUCAUGGUUAAGUGGGAAACGAUGUGGGAAGGCCCAGACAGCCAGGAUGUUGGCUUAGAAGCAGCCAUCAUUUAAAGAAAGCGUAAUAGCUCACUGGUCGAGUCGGCCUGCGCGGAAGAUGUAACGGGGCUAAACCAUGCACCGAAGCUGCGGCAGCGACACUAUGUGUUGUUGGGUAGGGGAGCGUUCUGUAAGCCUGUGAAGGUGGCCUGUGAGGGUUGCUGGAGGUAUCAGAAGUGCGAAUGCUGACAUAAGUAACGAUAAAGCGGGUGAAAAGCCCGCUCGCCGGAAGACCAAGGGUUCCUGUCCAACGUUAAUCGGGGCAGGGUGAGUCGACCCCUAAGGCGAGGCCGAAAGGCGUAGUCGAUGGGAAACAGGUUAAUAUUCCUGUACUUGGUGUUACUGCGAAGGGGGGACGGAGAAGGCUAUGUUGGCCGGGCGACGGUUGUCCCGGUUUAAGCGUGUAGGCUGGUUUUCCAGGCAAAUCCGGAAAACCAAGGCUGAGGCGUGAUGACGAGGCACUACGGUGCUGAAGCGACAAAUGCCCUGCUUCCAGGAAAAGCCUCUAAGCAUCAGGUAACAUCAAAUCGUACCCCAAACCGACACAGGUGGUCAGGUAGAGAAUACCAAGGCGCUUGAGAGAACUCGGGUGAAGGAACUAGGCAAAAUGGUGCCGUAACUUCGGGAGAAGGCACGCUGAUAUGUAGGUGAAGCGACUUGCUCGUGGAGCUGAAAUCAGUCGAAGAUACCAGCUGGCUGCAACUGUUUAUUAAAAACACAGCACUGUGCAAACACGAAAGUGGACGUAUACGGUGUGACGCCUGCCCGGUGCCGGAAGGUUAAUUGAUGGGGUUAGCGGUAACGCGAAGCUCUUGAUCGAAGCCCCGGUAAACGGCGGCCGUAACUAUAACGGUCCUAAGGUAGCGAAAUUCCUUGUCGGGUAAGUUCCGACCUGCACGAAUGGCGUAAUGAUGGCCAGGCUGUCUCCACCCGAGACUCAGUGAAAUUGAACU